This 462-nucleotide ribosomal RNA is filed under the name uncultured bacterium. Its description in RNAcentral is "partial 16S ribosomal RNA". It matches the Rfam family "Bacterial small subunit ribosomal RNA", at positions 28 to 507 of the family's 1533-position model. The record is from RNAcentral.
GACGAACGCUGGCGGCGUGCUUAACACAUGCAAGUCGAACGGUAAGGCCCUUCGGGGUACACGAGUGGCGAACGGGUGAGUAACACGUGGGUGAUCUGCCCUGCACUUUGGGAUAAGCCUGGGAAACUGGGUCUAAUACCGAAUAUGACUACAGGCUGCAUGGUCUGUGGUGGAAAGCUUUUGCGGUGUGGGAUGGGCCCGCGGCCUAUCAGCUUGUUGGUGGGGUGAUGGCCUACCAAGGCGACGACGGGUAGCCGGCCUGAGAGGGUGACCGGCCACACUGGGACUGAGAUACGGCCCAGACUCCUACGGGAGGCAGCAAUGGGGAAUAUUGCACAAUGGGCGCAAGCCUGAUGCAGCGACGCCGCGUGAGGGACGACGGCCUUCGGGUUGUAAACCUCUUUCAGCACAGACGAAGCGCAAGUGACGGUAUGUGCAGAAGAAGGACCGGCCAACUACGUG